This 912-nucleotide ribosomal RNA is filed under the name Triticum aestivum (bread wheat). Its description in RNAcentral is "partial small subunit ribosomal RNA". The record is from RNAcentral. Lineage: Eukaryota; Viridiplantae; Streptophyta; Magnoliopsida; Poales; Poaceae.
AUGCGACAGUUGCAUCGUAGCAACAACUUACCGUGGCUGCUGAUCGGUGAUCUGAAUGAGAUCCAAUAUCUACAUGAGAAGGAGGGUGGAAAUCCAAGACCAAUCCAGUACAUGCAGGCUUUUCAAGAGGCAAUAGAUGACUGUGAAUUGCAUGACAUGGGGUAUAUUGGUGAUCCCUUCACAUGGCAUAGAGGCAGAAUACGUGAAAGACUAGACAGGGGACUAGCCAAUGAUGGCUGGUCGGUCUUGUUCCCUGAUGCAGCCUUACAAAAUUUGGAAUAUAAUCACUCUGAUCAUCGGCCCCUAUGUGUGGAUACAGACUAUUUUUCUCACAAUCAGAUGGGAGGAAAUAAUGCACAGGUCAAGCGUUUUGAGGCAAGAUGGUUGAGGGAAGAAAGCUUUAAUGAUACUGUUCUUGAUGCUUGGACAAAUGUAGGUGCUGAUCCUAAUGCUACAAGUAUUUAUGAGAAGCUCAAUAAAAUGCAUGCAAUAUUCCACGAUUGGGACCAGCGUGUCCUUAAGAAACAAAAAAAAAAAAGGUUGCGCAAGGCCCAACGUGAGCUUGAGAGAGUCAUGGCUGGUCCUAUGAACGAUGAUAGUGACGUAAAGAGAAGGGAAUUGGCUGAAUUGAUUGAGUACUUGCUUGAGUUGGAGGAGAUUCAAACAAGACAGAGGUCACGGGCGACCUGGCUUACCAGCGGCGACCGUAACACAACGUUUUUUCAGGCCUUUGCCUCGGCAAGGAGGAAAAGGAACUACGUCAAAAAACUGAAAGAUGAAGCAGGGAACUGGCUUGAAGGUAUGCCGGAAUUAAACACUCACAUUCAGAAUUAUUUUACUCACCUGUUUACUUCGGAGGUGCAGCAUACAAAUCCAAAUCUUUUACAAAAGGUUCAAACGCAAAGUAACUGA